AAGGCGAUUAGUUUUGUCUAAUAACCCAUUUAAAUGCCAAGUAAAAAUAAAACUCCUAGUGUUGGGUCAGAAGCAUAUUUGAUUGAAAUUAGCUUUUUGAAAACAUUUAUAUCUCGGGACAAAUUGAGAUGGCCACAUGCCUAGAAUCCUAAGUUUCGGCAGAAUAUGUAUAUAAAGAUGUCACUUGUGGACAAAAUAGUACAUAGAGGCAAAUCACUAGACAAAUAAGCUUAGUGUUUACGUGACUGAACAGUCAUCCUGCUUUGGUUUCAGGUGUGGGAUUUGGACCAUGAGGGGCUCCCGUAGAGGAUGGCGGUUUGUGUUUGAUUCUGAUUUGGGAUUUCAGUACAUAUUCUCCACUUCCCAUAGAAGGCCACUUAUUCUUUGAAAACUGGUGUUCAUGUUUGCCGUUCAAUGAAGUCCCUUGUCAAAGACAAGGACGGUCAAUUCACGUGUCACUUUCACUAGGCAGAAGUUUCUCCAAUACCUUCUGGCUACUUGAAAGUUACUACAAAAAUUCCACCAGCAAAGUACUCCAGGUUUUUCAAAAGGGAAUUUUCAUUAUGGAUCAGUACCAACCGAAAUUGAUUUUCAUUUCCAAAACAAACACUGGCACCAACAUUUUUACUUUGGGAAGACUUGGCAGAGUGUUAGUCAUGAUCUGUUACUUACGUGUUCAGUCUGUUUUCUCACCCCCUUCUUAGUUACCAUCUCUUUUUUAAGAAGAAAAAAGAAAAGCCACAGUAUUAUCAAGGUCUCUACACUUGGACUGGGGGAAAAUUUGAAAUUAAGCACAUAACUUUUGAAUUAGUUCUUUGUUUCAAUGUUGAAUGUGGCGCAGUUAUGCAGAUGAUUAAUCAGGCUGCACUGAUGGAAGUUUUGACUUUGUCCCUGGUAUAAUUUGCAUUGAAAUGCUUUAUGAAAUAAAAGGUUCUACUAGAACUGAUGUUAGCACAUUCCACUGAGCAAAACUAUCAGACUGACACUUGUUAAAUUGCUUACUGGACUGAAUAAACUCUGUUUUGUCCAGUUAAAAGGGUUUUCUCUUUGUUACAAGUGUUAUUUGUAAAGUCCUGUCACAUUCAUGGUCGAAACUGGGUUGAAAGAAUUGAAAAUUGUCCAACAGAUAGAUAGAUAGGAAACCGCCUGGAGUGGAGGAGGGUUGUAUCUAAGCCUCCACUAUCAGUCAUGUUAAUUCAAGGGGCCACAGUGGAGGAAAAUAAAUCCACAAAGUAGAUUAUCUAAUUACCAUCAAAAUGAGUCAGAAGCAAAAAACACCACCCUCCAACAGCCUCUUAGGAGUACACCCUGUUCUGCUACUAAAAUACUAGACUCAUUUCCCUGGUGGUGGGGGGGAAUGCAGGUAUAGAUCAGAAAUAUAAUCCACCUUAAAAUUAGUACUAAUGAUCACAUUAUUUCACAAGAACUCUGCUGGAUGUACAGCUCUUAACAUUUUAUUAAGCCAUUUGUGUAGCCCACCACGUUUCUUUGUGGUGCUUGUCCUGUGUGGAAGAUUGUAAAUCUUGGGCCUGUUGCAUACUUCCAAGGGCUUUAAAGCAAUGUGAUUAACAGUACUUGGCCUGCUGCUUUUGGCUUACUUUGUAUUUUUAGCUAGAUGCUAUUAUAGUGUUGAAAGGAUAUGGAUUCUGUCUGGGAUGCAUUUGUUGUCCUUUCAGAACCCUUCCUCCCAUUACCCUGUGAAUAAAAACAAAUGGGACCCCCUGAGAAGGACAUCUUCCUACAGUGAUCACCUCACCAGCCCAGUGUUGUGGCUUUGUAGCGCACCCCGUAUCUACCAUAUUCUAGAACACUGUAAUGCUACUAGGCUGGCCCAGAAAAGGUUUAAAUGUUGAAUUCACUUAAAUUGCAAUUGUUGCACCAUCAUGGAAUCGUGAUGUGUAUUAUUUAUAUUGGCGGUGGACUCCAAGGUGUAGAGAAAACUUGGGUCUUGGGUAAUAUGGACCAUUUCAUCCUCAGACUUGUUAGGAGUACAUUUCUUGGUCUUGAGACCAGUAUUUUUCAGUUAUGUAUGCAACUGCCUUUAUUACACCUGGUUAUCACAAUUCAAUUCUCAGGUGUUGCAGAAAAAUCUACCUCUUUCAGACUGUAGAUGGAAAUAACUGUGAAAAAAAUGAUGCAGAUAUCUUCUAGUUUGUGCUAAACACACUGCUUUAUUUUUACAGCCCACGUCUUUCAUGAGGAUACGAAUUGUUAAGAGGCAGUCUCGUUUUGCUUUUCAAAGACAUUUUGUAGAGAUUUUUCACUAAUGUGAAUCUGAUUUUAUCUACUUGAUUCUGUAUAGAUUAAGUAAAUAUGUAUGAUAAACUU
Molecule: long non-coding RNA, 2328 nt
Filed under: Homo sapiens (human)
Lineage: Eukaryota; Metazoa; Chordata; Mammalia; Primates; Hominidae
Description: non-protein coding lnc-SYAP1-2:1
Source: RNAcentral